This 148-nucleotide small RNA is filed under the name Papio anubis (olive baboon). RNAcentral's name for it is "Metazoan signal recognition particle RNA (ENSPANG00000043071.1)". The record is from Rfam by way of RNAcentral. RNAcentral also lists the same sequence under 1 other name. Lineage: Eukaryota; Metazoa; Chordata; Mammalia; Primates; Cercopithecidae.
GCUGGGUGUGGUGGCACACGCCUGUAAUCCCAGCUACUCGGGAGGCUGAGGCAGGAGAAUUGCUUGAGCCGGGGAGGCAGAGGUUGCAGUGAACAGAGAUUGUGCCACUGCACUCCUGCCUGGCCAACAGAGCAAGACUUUGUCUCAA